CAGCUUUUGGCUGGUUGUAGCAUUUCACGUAGUUCUCGGCCUUGGUUCAUCCAUCAGGUCCUUUAAGGACUUUCUUUGCUUCGGCUUGGAAGUACAGCUUUUGGCUGGUUGUAGCAUUUCACGUAGUUCUCGGCCUUGGUUCAUCCAUCAGGUCCUUUAAGGACUUUCUUUGCUUCGGCUUGGAAGUACAGCUUUUGGCUGGUUGUAGCAUUUCACGUAGUUCUCGGCCUUGGUUCAUCCAUCAGGUCCUUUAAGGACUUUCUUUGCUUCGGCUUGGAAGUA
Molecule: ribosomal RNA, 282 nt
Filed under: Plasmodium vivax (malaria parasite P. vivax)
Lineage: Eukaryota; Apicomplexa; Aconoidasida; Haemosporida; Plasmodiidae
Description: partial small subunit ribosomal RNA
Source: RNAcentral